RNAcentral lists this ribosomal RNA (495 nucleotides) under uncultured bacterium. Its description in RNAcentral is "partial 16S ribosomal RNA". It matches the Rfam family "Bacterial small subunit ribosomal RNA", at positions 28 to 507 of the family's 1533-position model. The record is from RNAcentral.
GACGAACGCUGGCGGCGUGCCUAAUACAUGCAAGUAGAACGCUGAAGGAGGAGCUUGCUUCUCUGGAUGAGUUGCGAACGGGUGAGUAACGCGUAGGUAACCUGCCUGGUAGCGGGGGAUAACUAUUGGAAACGAUAGCUAAUACCGCAUAAGAGUAGAUGUUGCAUGACAUUUGCUUAAAAGGUGCAAUUGCAUCACUACCAGAUGGACCUGCGUUGUAUUAGCUAGUUGGUGGGGUAACGGCUCACCAAGGCGACGAUACAUAGCCGACCUGAGAGGGUGAGCGGCCACACUGGGACUGAGACACGGCCCAGACUCCUACGGGAGGCAGCAGUAGGGAAUCUUCGGCAAUGGACGGAAGUCUGACCGAGCAACGCCGCGUGAGUGAAGAAGGUUUUCGGAUCGUAAAGCUCUGUUGUAAGAGAAGAACGAGUGUGAGAGUGGAAAGUUCACACUGUGACGGUAGCUUACCAGAAAGAGACGGCUAACUACGUG